RNAcentral lists this ribosomal RNA (303 nucleotides) under uncultured Fusobacterium sp. Its description in RNAcentral is "bacterial SSU rRNA". It matches the Rfam family "Bacterial small subunit ribosomal RNA", at positions 1212 to 1513 of the family's 1533-position model. The record is from RNAcentral. Lineage: Bacteria; Fusobacteriati; Fusobacteriota; Fusobacteriia; Fusobacteriales; Fusobacteriaceae.
GGCUACACACGUGCUACAAUGGGUAGAACAGAGAGUUGCAAAGCUGUGAAGUGGAGCUAAUCUCAGAAAACUAUUCUUAGUUCGGAUUGUACUCUGCAACUCGAGUACAUGAAGUUGGAAUCGCUAGUAGUCGCGAAUCAGCAAUGUCGCGGUGAAUACGUUCUCGGGUCUUGUACACACCGCCCGUCACACCACGAGAGUUGGUUGCACCUGAAGUAGCAGGCCUAACCGUAAGGAGGGAUGCUCCGAGGGUGUGAUUAGCGAUUGGGGUGAAGUCGUAACAAGGUAUCCGUACGGGAACGU